This 250-nucleotide ribosomal RNA is filed under the name uncultured bacterium. Its description in RNAcentral is "partial 16S ribosomal RNA". It matches the Rfam family "Bacterial small subunit ribosomal RNA", at positions 524 to 773 of the family's 1533-position model. The record is from RNAcentral.
UACGGAGGGUGCAAGCGUUAUCCGGAUUUACUGGGUUUAAAGGGUGCGUAGGCGGAUUAUUAAGUCAGUGGUGAAAUCCCGGGGCUCAACCUCGGAACUGCCAUUGAUACUAUUAGUCUUGAAUUAUGUUGAGGUUGGCGGAAUAUAACAUGUAGCGGUGAAAUGCUUAGAUAUGUUAUGGAACACCGAUUGCGAAGGCAGCUGGCUAAACAUAUAUUGACGCUGAUGCACGAAAGCGUGGGUAGCGAAC